UCCACCAAUUUACAAGCCCCCUAACGUGAAGCCACCAGUUCACAAGCCACUGCCACCUUAUGGCCACUAUCCAGGACAUCCUCCAGUAGAAAAUACUGAACUUUACAAGCCACCUCGGAAAAUAUUCCCUCCUCCAAUUCCUUAUAAAAUGUCCCCACCUUACGAGAAGCCCCCAACACCCUACAAGCCACCCUACAAGCCCCCAUCUCCUAUCCAUCCAAACAAAUGACUUAAAAUGGAUCUAUUUUAGUAUUUACAAAUAAGUGGUGCUGCAAGUGCUUAUCUCAUCUUGUAUGCCAUAUACAUCAGUUGCUACAACUGAGGAAUGCUUAGUUAUGCUGUCUUUUGUAAUUUAUGAGCAUAUCCUAAUUUCUAUAUUACAUGUAAGGCAGCCAAUGUCACUUGUAUUAAUAUUUCUUAUACACUAUUUCUAUCUAUUUUUAUUUAUCGUAUUUA
This 456-nucleotide unclassified non-coding RNA is filed under the name Hevea brasiliensis (rubber tree). Lineage: Eukaryota; Viridiplantae; Streptophyta; Magnoliopsida; Malpighiales; Euphorbiaceae. The record is from RNAcentral.